Molecule: long non-coding RNA, 1031 nt
Filed under: Daphnia pulex (common water flea)
Lineage: Eukaryota; Metazoa; Arthropoda; Branchiopoda; Diplostraca; Daphniidae
Description: uncharacterized LOC124204594, transcript variant X1
Source: RNAcentral
CAACUGACAAGAGAGUGUGUGAACCAGAGAGAAAAAAUGGUUUGAGCACAGAGCAGCGUGUACUUUGUAGUUCUGAAUUUCAAAUUCAAAAUUGAAAUGAUUUAGAUUGUUACUCCAAUCAACAAUUCACGUCUACGUAGGAAAAACGAAAUGUGGAUAAUGGAUAUUGCAAUCGAUUUUGAAAACUUGUAUUAUUCUUCUGUUAUGAAGCCCUGUCCUACUAUCUCAAUUGCUCAAAGGGUUGACCUUCCAGUUUUGCUUGAACUUUGUAGCCUCUUAUUCCAUAUGGCAGAGUGCUGGUUUUUUGUAUAAAACCAUGAAGCAAAUUGAAGAUUGGAAAUUUACAAUGAUUCGAACUACCUGCUGGGAAUGCCAGUCAACAAAAGAAACAGAAAACAAUUUCACUAAUCAAAUUCCUAUUUAAAUAAUACAUAUUCCAACAUAUUUAUUUGUUUGGAGACAGCAGUUGAGUGAUAUAAUUUCUUCACAAGGAAUAUACUGCCCGCUCACACAUCUAUAAGCUGAUUCCAUGGUAUGCCCACAACUAUUUGCAGGGGUGAGACACAAUUAAACUCUCAUUUGUCAUCAACAAGUAGUAAGUGUUGACUGUUGAAUGUUCAAUCCAUUUCCCUGAAUCGAUAGUAAAGUAUGUUGGUUAUUUUUCUUCUUGACCCUUUUGCUUCGUUAGUGAAGAGACAAAUACUGUUGGAAAUAAUUUCAUUAUCUGCUCAGUUUUUCUGGCCAGUUCAUGUUUUCGACAACUUUCUUGUUUAAAAGCCCUCCAUUUCGACGACGAAAUGAUAGAAGAUAGGCCUAGUUGAUGUUGAUUGCGAUUUCUUCAUCCUCCUCCGAUCGAAAUCUCUUUAAGCACUCACCGUUACGUGGACCAUCCGUAUUUUUAAUGUAAAAUCUAUUCGAUUCAACCAUUUUCUCGAAUUUGUUUUACUGUGAAAGUUUAUUUUAGUUUUUUGUGAAGUUUUUUAAGUCAGUUGCAUGCUUAAAGCAAAAUAUGACAGGUGCGUGGGUUUCAA